GGUGUGUUAAAUUUGUUAAGAUAAAUUUAUUGAUACAAUAAUAAACCAAUAUUGGCGAUGGUGGGGGUGUAUUCUACGACGCUCCUACUGGAGAUGAAGCCAUUGUUAUUUGAUUUUUUUUUUCUAAAUACACUCCCAACAAACAAUGUCUCUCUUGCCAUACUAAUUUAUAUUUUUGUCUCAUCAACUCGGGUAUUGACUAAAUCAUCAAAGACUAGAACAAAAUUCACACAAUUACCAUUCACUUUACAAUUACCAUGCCAAUUUGUAUGUGUACGUCAAACAUUUACCGUCAGAUGAUUUCUCGUGUACAUAUUUAGUAAUGUACGUACAUUUUUCUAAAAAUCAUGUUUUAUCUCAUGGUUAUGACUCACAAAUGGUUGAAUAUCACCAUUCUCUCCAAAAUAAUCGAUGUUUUUUCAGUUACGUACACGUUAAUUAGUAUACGUACACGUUUCUAAUAAUCAACUGAAUUUUUAUGUUAGCCCCACAGUAAGUUGAGUGUCACCAUCAUUCCCGACAUGUCAUAUCCCAUAUUUCUCAACAACAAAAUCAGUCAACUUGUUGUAAUGUAAUCUUCGCCACUACCUUUAUUACCGUUUAUAGUUGUCAUCUUCAUCGUCCCCUUCCUCAUCCUUUCUCUUUUUCGUCGUCCUCAUCCUCUUUUUUUUCAUCCUCUUUAUCACUCUGUACUUCUUCUGCUUCAUCUACUUCCUCAUUGUUUUCACCACCGACCCAUGGUCAGUUUCAUCAGAAAGGUCCUCCAUCUUUCUAUGUAAUUAUUAUUUUAAAAAUUUUAAUGAACGUUAUGUUACAUAAUAUUAUUGGUGGAUAAUAUAUAAGAUUCUAAACUAAUAUAUAAGAUUCGUAAACGUAGUGGGCUGAGUUGGGUCUUACAUAAAUCGUCGAAAUUGAAACAUCAUCAUUAUUGAGCAACUCCACCUCACCACUUAGCAAUAUAGAAAAGCCAUUAUACACUUCAGAAGAAUCAUUCAUUGUUAAUAAAUCGUACUUUGAUUCAGGUAAAACCGAUCUUCCAAUACUA
RNAcentral lists this long non-coding RNA (1045 nucleotides) under Arabidopsis lyrata. Its description in RNAcentral is "long non-coding RNA (ALYR_LNC002372)". The record is from RNAcentral. Lineage: Eukaryota; Viridiplantae; Streptophyta; Magnoliopsida; Brassicales; Brassicaceae.